Molecule: transfer RNA, 66 nt
Filed under: Mytilisepta virgata
Lineage: Eukaryota; Metazoa; Mollusca; Bivalvia; Mytilida; Mytilidae
Description: tRNA-Pro
Source: RNAcentral
UUAAGUUCUGAUAAGUCUUAAUUAGAAAUAGUUUAAUAUCAGAAUUUAAGCUUUGGGAGUUUAAGG